CCUACGGGGUGCAGCAGUCGAGAAUCAUUCACAAUGGGGGAAACCCUGAUGGUGCGACGCCGCGUGGGGGAAUGAAGGUCUUCGGAUUGUACACCCCUGUCAUGUGGGAGCAAAUUAAAAAGAUAGUACCACAAGAGGAAGAGACGGCUACCUCUGUGCCAGCAGCCGCAGUAAUACAGAGGUCUCAAGCGUUGUUCGUAAUCACUGGGCGUAAAGCGUGCGUAGGCUGUUUCGUAAGUCGUGUGUGAAAGGCGAGGGCUCAACCCGCGGAAGGCACAUGAUACUGCGAGACUAGGGUAAUGGAGGGGGAACCGGAAUUCUCGGUGUAGCAGUGAAAUGCGUAGAUAUCGAGAGGAACACUCGUGGCGAAGGCGGGUUCCUGGACAUUAACUGACGCUGAGGCACGAAGGCCAGGGGAGCGAAAGGGAUUAGAUACCCUUGUAGUC
RNAcentral lists this ribosomal RNA (446 nucleotides) under uncultured bacterium. Its description in RNAcentral is "partial 16S ribosomal RNA". It matches the Rfam family "Bacterial small subunit ribosomal RNA", at positions 338 to 795 of the family's 1533-position model. The record is from RNAcentral.